AGAGUUGGUCAGGCAGUCGCUGUAUGAACUUGGUUUCAAGUGUUUAUACAGAGGAAAGUCCGGGCUCCACAGGGCAAGGUACCAGAUAACGUCUGGGGGGCGAAAGCCUACGGAAAGUGCAGCAGAAAAUAAACCGCCCAGCCCCUGAAUCUAAUAUUCAGGGGCUGGGUAAGGGUGAAAUGGUGCGGUAAGAGCGCACCGCGUGACUGGUAACAGGAGCGGCAUGGCAAACCCUACCUGGAGCAAGAUCAAAUAGAGGAGCAGACGCGCGGCUCGCGCGGCUCCUGGGUAGAUCGCUUGAGCUAUAAGGUGACUUAUGGCCUAGAUGAAUGACUGUCCUAGACAAAACCCGGCUUAUCGACCAACUCUA
RNAcentral lists this RNase P RNA (370 nucleotides) under Bathymodiolus japonicus methanotrophic gill symbiont. RNAcentral's name for it is "RNaseP". It matches the Rfam family "Bacterial RNase P class A". Rfam says of the family: Ribonuclease P (RNase P) is a ubiquitous endoribonuclease, found in archaea, bacteria and eukarya as well as chloroplasts and mitochondria. Its best characterised activity is the generation of mature 5'-ends of tRNAs by cleaving the 5'-leader elements of precursor-tRNAs. Lineage: Bacteria; Pseudomonadati; Pseudomonadota; Gammaproteobacteria. The record is from RNAcentral.